UCUAUUCUGUUCCACUGGUCUGUGUGUCUGAUUUUAUACAAGUACUAUGCCAUUUUCAGUACUGAAGCCUUGAAAUACAAUUUGAAGUCAGGCAACAUGAUG
This is a long non-coding RNA of Cebus imitator (Panamanian white-faced capuchin), 102 nucleotides long. RefSeq lists it as uncharacterized. Lineage: Eukaryota; Metazoa; Chordata; Mammalia; Primates; Cebidae. The record is from RefSeq and is a predicted model, not a curated record. The transcript is spliced from 3 exons.